RNAcentral lists this long non-coding RNA (2210 nucleotides) under Nicotiana benthamiana. RNAcentral's name for it is "long non-coding RNA (NBEN_LNC031342)". Lineage: Eukaryota; Viridiplantae; Streptophyta; Magnoliopsida; Solanales; Solanaceae. The record is from RNAcentral.
UAACCUGCUAACUCUAGUCACCAUGUUUUGCUCUAAAACAUACAUGGACCAAACCCUAGACGUCGCUCGCCGAAAAUCAUUUCACCGCGACGGUUGGUCUUCAAACACCUCCAAAUUUUCACCAUACAAUCACUGUUCCCCCGUCUUUCUGAAUUUAUAAUUGGUUUCCCUUAAAUCCCCACGGAACCUUUCCUAUUUCAGAUCUGAGAAUCAAAAAAGAAGGUCUAGUUUCGCAUGUUCGUGGUUCCUGCAAUUCCAGUGCUCGUUUGGUUCAAAACUCACCCCAAAGAGAUUGUUCUUGACAAGAACAAUCAUUUGGGAUCAGUUUCAAUCCAUUUAAAAAUUAACCAGAGCCUGGAUUCAGCUCGUCCUUUUCAUUGGGUAUUUCCUAGUCUUUCUUGUUUUGUUUGUCCUUAGAUAAAAUUAAAAAAGAAAAGAAGAACCAGUGAUUAUUUUUUCUGUUCAAUUAUUGUUUGUUUGUAUUGUUCUUUUCUUCUUUGAUUAAUUAACAAGACAAUUUGUAGCUCAUUAGUAUUAGUUCAACCCGAGUUUGUAACUGUUUAGGACAUAUUCUUUAUGGUAUUUUCUUUUCUUGGUUUUGUUCUUCCUUUUCUUUAUUUUUCAUAAUUGGUGUUUAAUUUGCAUGCUUAAGGGUAUAUACAGUGUUUUAUGUUGUUGUUAUUUGUUUGACUUGUUUGCCUAUGCUAGUCAUCAAACCUGAUCGUUUCUAAAGAGUCCUUGUGAAGUUCAUCAUGAACUUGGUUCAUUUUAAGUUUUAGGUUUAUUUUUAGGUUUUCAGAUGUUUAUAUUUUAACUACAAUGUUUAGCUUCGUUUUUUGCUAUUUUAUUUGUCCAUUGAUAUUGGCUUGCUUGUUUUUGUUUGCCUUAAUUUGUAAGUUAGUAGGAACUUAUAGGGGUUAAUUGAACAGUAAAGAAAAUUUAAUAUGGUUGUUUGAAGGGUGGGUAAAUAGGGAAUUCAGAUAAGGCCAUUUAGAAGGUUCUAAUACAUGGGCGACUUGCCCUAUUUGGCUAGUACAAAAUGUUGAAACCAAUUAGAGACAGCCAACUGUUCAAUUCUGUUAAAAAGAUGCUCUUUGAGGGUUGCUUUCAAAGAGAAAAAUCCAGAGUUGGAGAGCACAUAACAAUCCUUUUGGAGUAUAAAUAGAACAUUUUCUUCACUCAUUAGGCAGAGAUUUCAGACCUUAAAAAAGGCUCCAAAAAUUUCAGCUAUUGUUUCAUUGGUAGCUGGUUCUACUCUCUUCUGAUUUUCAUUAGCAAAAACUUAGAAAACUAUUCUCUAGGAUUUCUGGUUUGGUGAUUUGAGCAUGGAUUAAGCUGAAGUUGUGUACUGUUGUUACCAACUAUUCAAUUCUGUUAAAAAGAUGCUCUUUGAGGGUUGCUUUCAAAGAGAAUAAUCCCUAAGUUGGAGAGCACAUAACAACCCUCUUGGAGUAUAAAUAGAACCUCUUCUUCACUCAUUAGGCAGAGAUUUCAGACCCUAAAAAAAGCUCCAAAAAUUUCAGCUAUUGUUUCAUUGGUAGCUAGUUCUACUCUCUUCUAAUUUCAUUAGCAAAAACUUAGAAAACUAUUCUCUAGGAUUUCUGAUUUUCUGAUUCGAGCAUGGAUUAAGCUGAAGCUGUGUACUGUUGUGAUUUGCUAUUGUCCUCACUUAUUUCUUGUUGAAAUCCUUACUUCACUUUUGUCUUUGUUCUUGACAUCCUUGUACCUCUAUGAACUUUUGAGUGGCAAAAUGAAGCUCCAAGCAUGUGUAUAGUCUUUAAUGUAAUAAGAAGUUGGUUCUUCAAAUGUUAAAUUUCAGUUUUCCUUAUGUAUGCUGUCAGCAAGUUAUUUAGUUUAGUAUUUCAAUUAUAGUAUGUUUAAGCAUUCUGAACCUAGUAUUCUAUUCUAUAGCUUAGUUAUUGUAUGAAUAGGCAGAUUAUUCUAGUUGCUCCAUGUACUGUUUGACAGUUUUAGAAUGCUUAAGCCAUAGUAGUUCAUUUGGUCCUUAUUAUGGGAGGCUUGAUAUGUACUGUAAGAGACAAUGUUUGAUUGCUGAGCAUAUUCAGUUAAAUGAUCUCAAAUUCCAACAUUGUUAAAGCGAUUGAAUAUUUAAGUUUAAGGUGAUUCAUGAAUAAGUUUAGGGUUCAAUCUUUUAUUGUUAGUACUAAUAGCAUGUUGAUAAAUUAAGUUUAUAAUAUGGUUGUUCAGAC